This is a non-coding RNA of Myodes glareolus (Bank vole), 1114 nucleotides long. Lineage: Eukaryota; Metazoa; Chordata; Mammalia; Rodentia; Cricetidae. The record is from RefSeq and is a predicted model, not a curated record.
GUUUAUCUCCCCGUGUCUCCUCGUGUUUCAAAAUAACCGAUUUUCAGGAAGCAAUGCAACCGAAAUUGUCCCCGGUGUCACUCAAAGGGAACCGGGUGCGGAGAAAGUACUAUGGGAAAGAGAGAGGAAAGGAAGAAGCCUAACCCCGAGGCACUAAGAGUCACUUACCUCUGUGUCUAAAGAAACAAGAGCUGAAUCUCAGAGAGGCGAAGCUGGGUGUCAAGGUCACUGGCGAAAGUAGUACUUUAGAUUGGAGAUCCAGUUUGACUACAGUGUGUACCUAAUAAACCAACUACUCCAUUGAUUAGCUGGUCAGCUGAUUCUUGAGCAAAGGACCUGAGGACCAAAACAUUGGAGAAGCCACGUUUAAGUGAUAGUUCUACAUGAGCUCCCUCCCCGACUUGUGUUGAUAACAGAACCUGGAUUUACAAACUUGGAAGACUUUGAAGAAAACAGGCACAUCCAGUCCUUGCUGCCCUCUGGUCAGAUUGAAAAGGUGGAGCCUGAAGAUUGGCAUACAAGUCUUUGCUUGGACCCCCCGAGAGAGGAGAGGUUUGUCUGGUGGAAAGCUAGAGUUCAGUGUUAAAGAGUAGACAGUGUAAUACAUGCCUUGUCCUAGGUAUGGAAAGUAGACCCUGACAGACCACUUUCUUUUCCCCAGAAAGAGCUUAUCUGAACAUUAUAAUUGUAUUCGUUGAAAAAAUAACUUCACUAAGAUACUUAGGAUUGAAAAGGCCAGACUUCCAGGCUUACCAAUUCAGAUCCCAUGAUUUACCUAAGACUUCUGCUCCCUAUAUAAAGAUACUGGCAUGAUCACAUUGUCCUACUGCAGACAUGUUCCAAACACACAUGUUCAGGAUGAAGUCAGGAGUCUUGGAUCUUCACAGUGAGACUGCGAACCCCCGUCCUUCUUCAUGCUCCACUCAGGCUGCAUCCGUGUGUCUUGCCAUGUGCUGUGUUUCUAGUUGCCUUGACGUGCUGUUUCUGUUCAUAUUCUUCAGGGGCUGCUCAUCCUGGUUCCUUCCGAGGGUUUUCCUUCCCCCAGUUUUCCCUUUUUGAGGACAUACACUGAUAGCAGAGAGACUCAACAAGUUAUACCUCUCAGCAUGCAGGA